UACGGAGGGUGCAAGCGUUGUUCGGAAUCACUGGGCGUAAAGCGCGUGUAGGCGGCCUUCUCAGUCUGGUGUGAAAGCCCGGGGCUCACCCCCGGAAGUGCAUUGGAUACUGGAAGGCUGGAGUACCGGAGAGGAGGGUGGAAUUCCUGGUGUAGCGGUGAAAUGCGUAGAUAUUAGGAGGAACACCAGUGGCGAAGGCGGCCCCCUGGUUCGAUACUGACGCUGAGGUGCGAAAGCGUGGGUAGCAAACAGG
This 253-nucleotide ribosomal RNA is filed under the name uncultured bacterium. Its description in RNAcentral is "partial 16S ribosomal RNA". It matches the Rfam family "Bacterial small subunit ribosomal RNA", at positions 524 to 776 of the family's 1533-position model. The record is from RNAcentral.